Molecule: long non-coding RNA, 236 nt
Filed under: Gallus gallus (chicken)
Lineage: Eukaryota; Metazoa; Chordata; Aves; Galliformes; Phasianidae
Source: RNAcentral
CCUUUUCCCCACUUAGAAUCGUGCCGAGGGAUCUGGAGAUGUCCUAGAGAGGUUUGGGGGCAUCCAGGGGGUUCUGGACUCAUGCAGAAGAGUCUGGAGAUGUCCAAGGAGGAUCCAGGGAGUCCCCAGGCCUGCCUGCAGCCGGACCCGGUGACACCGGAGCCCUCCCUCUGGCGCUGUCACCAUCCUCUGUCCCGAGGACGGGAGGUGAACUCUGUGCCACCAGCAGAGGGGAC